CAAGAAGUGUGGCUGUGGUUUGGUGUACAUUACAAUGUACCGUGCAUAUCACAGACUGUUUUUCUUAUC
This is a non-coding RNA of Biomphalaria pfeifferi, 69 nucleotides long. Lineage: Eukaryota; Metazoa; Mollusca; Gastropoda; Planorbidae. The record is from the annotation of a GenBank genome assembly.